This 573-nucleotide ribosomal RNA is filed under the name uncultured bacterium. Its description in RNAcentral is "bacterial SSU rRNA". It matches the Rfam family "Bacterial small subunit ribosomal RNA", at positions 60 to 631 of the family's 1533-position model. The record is from RNAcentral.
AGUCGAACGGAGAUUACAGGCGGAAGUUUUCGGAUGGAAGCUUGUAAACUUAGUGGCGGACGGGUGAGUAACACGUGAGCAACCUGCCUAUCAGAGGGGGAUAACGAUUGGAAACGAUCGCUAAUACCGCAUGACAUAGCGGAAUCGCAUGGUUCUGUUAUCAAAGAUUUUAUCGCUGAUAGAUGGGCUCGCGUCCGAUUAGAUAGUUGGUGGGGUAACGGCCUACCAAGUCGACGAUCGGUAGCCGGACUGAGAGGUCGAACGGCCACAUUGGGACUGAGACACGGCCCAGACUCCUACGGGAGGCAGCAGUGGGGGAUAUUGCACAAUGGGGGAAACCCUGACGCAGCGACGCCGCGUGAGGGAAGACGGUCCUCUGGAUUGUAAACCUCUGUCUUCGGGGACGAAACGAGACGGUACCCGAGGAGGAAGCCACGGCUAACUACGUGCCAGCAGCCGCGGUAAUACGUAGGUGGCAAGCGUUGUCCGGAAUUACUGGGUGUAAAGGGAGCGCAGGCGGGAAGACAAGUUGGAAGUGAAAACCAUGGGCUCAACCCAUGAAUUGCUUUCAAA